RNAcentral lists this long non-coding RNA (770 nucleotides) under Anas platyrhynchos platyrhynchos (common mallard). Its description in RNAcentral is "lncRNA (ENSAPLG00000023320.1)". Lineage: Eukaryota; Metazoa; Chordata; Aves; Anseriformes; Anatidae. The record is from RNAcentral.
ACAAGAAAUCUAAUAAUGUAAGUAAAACCAUCAGUACAAGAAUGCAAAGUAAUUGAUAGCAAUAGGAUUUUCCAGCUUUCUUCUAUGAUCCCUUGAUUUUGUUGAUCCUUCUAUCUUUGAUCAGUCUCUGUGUUUUUGCCUAAAGAAGCAAUUGCUGCUUUACAUACGGGUUAAAGAAUAAGAGUUACAGCCACAGAAAGUCCCUGUGUUUCUCUUGCUUCUGACCCUACUUAGGAACACUAUUUUCUAUUACUGAUGUUAUUGCUAUUAAUUUGAGAGACGUGUGUUAUUGGGUUGCCCAGAAGAACAGAUUGGAUCUGAAUCAACAUUGGACACCAUUACAUUUUUGUUACCCUGGCUUAAAGACAAAUAUGACUGAAAUUCAUGUGGCCACCACACGUGAAACAAAGGUCUGGUAGUUGGAGUUCAGAAGUGAAUUUACUGUAACGUGGAAGCACAGACUAAGCAUUUUCUUCUGAGUUGAAAAGGACAGUGAGAGAACACAAUGUCUUCAAAUACUUUGGAAUAAAACCAACCUCCCUGUGCCCUGCCUUCUGGCUUACUCUUGCUGUUCCUUCUGGCACAACAGCUUCCUACUUUUCCAGUCCAGAAAGGAUCCAUCUGGGGGCUCUGUGCUAACCUUUAGCACAAGGAGGAGAAUUCCAAAAUGUAAAGGGGGAAAUACCCAUGUUUCCUCUGACAAGUUUACCUGGGUUGAAGUCAGUGAUGUCGCCCCCCAAAAAGCACCUCAAGCAUUACAAAAAGGCUAG